UUCCCUCUAAAAAUGUUUCCCCAAAAUUUCCCCCUAAAAGUUUCCCCCAAAAUUUUCUAAAAGUUCAAAAGGCAGUAACAUCGAUACUCAUCUAUAUAUCUCUUUCCAAAAGUAGUGGAAAAACCUUCCCCAUUCCCAAUUCGUUUCCAUCCCCCAUAGUGAACUCGGCUUCGCGUUGCUUUUGUUACCGAAUCAACAUUGCUAUUGUCUCCUGGGCUGACUGAUAUGGUGUUGUCUUUAUUUUAUUUGGUUGAUUCGCUGUUAUUUUCUCACUUCAUGCUUCGUCUUUUUAAUUGUUUUCUUUUGAUUUGAUAAUAAUAUACCUGAACAGUUGAACUUCGCUCAGGAUCGACAAUCUUCUGUUGUUCGAGAUGAGCGGCUAAGAUCUCCUCUUGCGAUUGUGCAGUCAUGACAGUGAGAGUUUUAUGAGAAAAAUAUUGUUUUCAGUUCAGUUGUUAAAAGAGACUCACGCUGACUCCUAAAACCCUAGACGUCGAAGAAAUUUCUGAUUUUUUCGUUACUGCUUAGGAUUCAUCAGAUCUGGUACUUCUUAUCAGCCUCGCUACUAGCUCAGAGUGCUUGUUGUUGUACGGAGACUUUAAGAUUUGGGCAUUCAGAGUUGUAUAUUCAUGGAAAAGGCAUUGUUACCGAUUGAUUGAUCUUGGUUCGAAGUAAGUUUCCUGCCUAACCUUGUGUGGGGGAAAUCCCCUUAGGAUUUGGUACUGUCGUGAUAUGUGAGCACCGUAUAUGUGAGGUGACGAGUACGUACAUAUGCUAUUUGUUGAAAAACUCGAUUUAUUUUACUGAGUAGCAACUUGUGUUUUUUCUUGAAUUUGAGUUAUGUCGUUUAAAUGAGUAUUAGUCUGUUUUCAUUCCUAAUUGAGCUAUUCCAACAUGUGUAGUUAUCCUCUUUAGUUUAAUAUAGCAUGUCCACGUGAUUAAUUACUUAUUUAAACUUUGUGAAGCAUGCCUAGUUGAUUUUCUGCGUUUCCUUGUUCUUUAUCAGU
Molecule: non-coding RNA, 1007 nt
Organism: Nicotiana tabacum (common tobacco)
Lineage: Eukaryota; Viridiplantae; Streptophyta; Magnoliopsida; Solanales; Solanaceae
Source: RefSeq, a predicted model, not a curated record